RNAcentral lists this long non-coding RNA (5297 nucleotides) under Linum usitatissimum (flax). RNAcentral's name for it is "long non-coding RNA (LUSI_LNC007481)". Lineage: Eukaryota; Viridiplantae; Streptophyta; Magnoliopsida; Malpighiales; Linaceae. The record is from RNAcentral.
GGGAAAAUAAAUACAAUGAAAUACAUUGAAGAAUGGAAUAAGGAGUUACACAAUGGUGCAUUCACUAUAGUAAUUAUAUUCAUAACAUAAUGAAUUUUUUUUACAAAUAGACAAAUAAAAGAUCACAAGGUGCCUCUUCUUCGAUUAAAACUCGAUCAUAUUUACAAUUCUAUGACUAAUUUAGUAAUUCUACCGAAAAGUUAAAUUACUAUUUAAUUAAUUUUUCCUCCAAAAGAAUACACUCUUAAUCAUUCGGUGUUCCCGCACCGGACCUUCCGCUUCCAACGGUGGCAUACUAACAACAACGACAUCUUCCACCGAAGCCACAACGGCCGGAGUAACAACUUCACCGACGGCAGAAACCUUCCGGCGGGGCUCGAUGAGGCAGUGGGGGGGAGGUAGGGGUGGCGGCAAGUAGGGCAGGAAGAGUGGGACCCAAGCCACUGAUCAAUACACUUGACGUGGAAUCCGUGGUUACACGUCGGCAGGACCUUGAUCAAGUCGCCGGCGGCAAACUCCAACAAGCAGAUGACACACUCAGCAUCCAAAUUCAACCCCUCAUCAGACUCGGAGAAGGUGACGACGGGGAAAGUCUUGAGGGCCUUCUUUUUAAUUCCGGUAUUUGCUAACUUCGCCGUCGCCGGAGCUCCGGCGCCGGCGGAUGUGGGUUCGGAGUAGAAGCAUCUCAAUGCGCAGCGGACUAUCGAGUUGAGGAUUAGAGACACGAUCAAGGCACAGAGGAGGACGGAGACCACCAUCACCACCUUGGCAUCGGAUUUGCUUUCUGGCUCGGCGAGGGGAGGAGGGGAGGAGUUGAGGAGGAGUCUUCUGCCGGCGAUGGUGGGGGUUUGGAGUAAGAUCAUGUGAUUAGUGGCUGAAUCCAUAUUAUUGGCCGAGUUAAGAUCAGGUUAGGGUUUAUUAAUUGGUCUCUUUUGGUAAAGAUGUAAAUAAGAUGAGUGUUUGUUUUGAUGGAACUUGUUUGUGAUUUUGGAGUGUUUAGGGAGUUGAUAUAUAUAGGAAUUGGAAGUGGGGGGAGAUGUGAGUUUGGAUAAAGUUGUACUUUUUUAGUUGUUAUGAGAAUACUUGUUAUUAUUUUUCAUCAUCAUCUCAAGAAUACGAAUUUUUUUUGAGAAAGUUUAGAUUGGAUUUUAUAGUAUUUAUUAACAUACUCUUUUAAUUAAAAGAUUUGUAAAAUUUCGGUAAGUUAUGUAUAAGGAUUGUGAGGCUAUUAAUUGGGAUUCGAAGCGGAGAUAUUUUGAUCUUAUAAGAUUCCGUUACCAUGUCAUGAAUUAUUGUAUCCUAAUAACUUGAACUAUUAAAAAAGGGUUUACAUCAAGUUUUAUAUUAUUCAUUAGCAUAUUCUAUUACGAUGGAUUGUCAAGUUAUAAGAUUAUGAUCGUGUUUCAGAUAUAAAUUAUUCUACAAAACAUCAACAACUCGAUUAAUUACUUUUCGAUAAUCACUUGGUACGGAUAACUCCAAAUAGGUCAAAGGUGGGUAGGGAAGGAAAUUAGUUCUAAGUUGGUAAGUCAAGGAUGGAACCAUAAGCUUGAUCUUUUCAAAGGAGCUUUUUAGACUUUUUGAGCAUAACCCACAAAGAGGAUGGUGGGUAAGCUGGCAAAGGAGUUAUCUUAUCCCUUUCUGUGAAGGGAAUCAAACCCACAUGGAUUCUCCCACUUUUGAAUUGCACUUUAUAUAUUUGGUGUCAGAUUGUGAGUUAUCUUAAUCAAUAUUAUUGAAUUUUGUGUUGUAAAUGCUUUUAGCUAGGGUCCCAUGGCAUCACUCACAUUGGAAAAAUGGUUCAAUGGUUUUUCAUGAAGCUUCUUCCUAUGAGCAAAAUCCAUGAGCUUGAACACAUAUAGUUUGGGAGUGGUUUGGUAUAAUACACAUGUAUAUAAUACAACAUUUUAGUGUUGGUUGUUUAUAUAACACAUGUGUAUAUUGAUUAUUAAAAAAAAUAUGUUCCUAAAGUGUAAAAGUUCAAAUAGUAUUAAUAUCUCAUAUCGUAUAAACUUUUAGAAACCGAAAAUAACUUCUCUAUGCCAAUUAAUUAUAAAAUAAAAGAAAUAAAAAGCUCUAUAUUUUUGAAUGAACAAGCUUAACACCACUUGUCACUGAACAAACAAGCUAAGGCUAUAUAUCCCAUAUACAAAAUUCUAAACAAAUUCAUCUGAACUUCUUCUAUAUCAAACGACCCAUUACAGUUUCCUUUUUUUGAUCCUCAAAAGUUUGGUUUAGACAUAGUGGGGAGUAUUAUUUUCAACAUUUUUGGUGAGUACUAUGACAUGAUAGGAGCUUGGAAGAGGGAGUGUUUUUGAAAUGUAGAAUUAUAUAUUGUUUGUUUAAUUAACUUAAUGGCAUUGCACUUUAGGAAAAGGAGGGGAUGUUCAUUCAUUCCACACUAAAAUCGAGUCACACUCAACUUAUAAUGGGAAAAAGGUCAUUUGGAGAUAAGUCUUGUUGAGCUAUAGUUCACCUACAGCUAAAGUGUGUAGUGACUGAGUCACUAGUUUUGGCUUUUUACUUACCUUCAUUCGCCACCAACACAAACUACUAUAGCUCCUCUAGAAGAAAUUCAUGCCUCGGUGUCGGUUAAUCUGCCUACUUAGCAUCGAAUAGCAGCCGUAGCGAGGCUAUAGUAAACAUUCUUGAAUAAAAUGACUAGACGAACAACGGUGAAACUUUAAUGGUAAUUUAAUGCAUUUUUUUAUGAGAUUAAUAUCAUAAAAUUUAUAUAAUUUUAAAUAUCUAAACCUGAACGAAGAUUGCCUCGUGAUUAUAAAUAAGAUUAUACCUUAGAAUAGAAGAGUCCUCAAUUUGUCCUUCAAAUUUGAUCAAUUAAUUAUAAGCUAUAUAUAAACCCAUAAUAAAAAUGUGAUAAAUUAAGUUGAAACUACACUCGCAAAUUGGAGAGUGGCUGGCUGUACAACACUCCAAAGUACACAACAGUGUACCAAAAGAUUCUUAAAUAUUUCAUAAUGGAUUUAGUACUAAGUUGGUUUAUUUUAAUGUUUGGCAAUGUUUAAGGUUUCAUACAUGUUGGCUGUUGGGCACAUAAAAUUAAUUAAAACACCCAACAUCUCAUUAACAAUUGUUGCUUUCCCCCACUCCUAUCCUACACCUUAUCUGUAUUAAUCACGCUAGUAAAAAACUAUACCAUCUUGGCCAAUUGGUUGAACCGGAUAUGAAUGUACACAUGGUGACAUCAUGUUUAUUGAGCUUCAUUAGAGUGAUCGGUGUGUGCACGCACAAAAAUAACUGAGUUUUUCUAUGGAUACAUACCACCUCUAUGUCUCAUUUUAUUCUGAUUAAUACAUAAACACUUUGCUCUUAUUUUUAUGAAAAAAUAAGUUUAAAAUAUCUGUUGAAAUACCAUUUAACCUCUUACAAUUAGAGUUUUUUUUUAUUAGAUCGUUGUUUAAUUAUUCAAUCAUUGUUGGCUAGGAACCUAUUGAGUUGAUUAAUCAAUGUAAUUGAAGUAUGGGAAAGGUUAAUUGCCCCCCAAGUAGGCUUACAAGCUAAGACGAUAAUUGCCAUCAAUUAGUGUACAGAGUUGGUGCUUUUGCCUUUGUAGUCUCUAAAUUAUUAGAUAUUUAUUAGCAAAAAAGGAGCAUGUAACUGACUUGUCGUUGGUUAAAGACUUAAAGCAGUAUAUUUUGUUUCUAAGAAAUCUUUGAGAGAUAGAGAAAUCUAUGUGUGGGGNNNNNNNNNNNNNNNNNNNNNNNNNGGGGAAAUAUAAAUAUAAAAAGGUCAAGUUGGGACUUUGGUGGAAAAUGUUGAAACUAGAGGCCUCAAAACAGUAAUUUAUAAGGAAAAGCGGAUGAGAACAGUAAAAAGGAACAAUUGGUGGUUGCUUGUCUUGUGAAAUGAUAGUACUAAUGAUGAUUAAUCAUUAGUGGUGAUGCUAAUUGUGGUUUAAAAUGGUGAAAUUACAUAAAAACAAAAACAAAAACCUUAAUUUAAAUCAUACCGGUAUGAAUUAUAUUUUACAAGAAAAUACGGUUUGAGAAACCAUAAGUUUGCUACUAUUUUAUAAAACGGUUAUUAAAAGUCAUUGGUGACCAUUUUGGCUUAAUAAACAAGCCACUAACCUACUAAUCAAUAAAAAUGUAUUUUUUAGUGCAAUUGUAUUGCAAAAUAUGCACUUCAGAGGCCUAAUUUUAGGGGUUGGAGGCAUCGUUAAGGGCGAGUGAUUGACCGUGAUAAGUACACAACAGUUUGAAAUCAAAUAAAAAGUUUAGGUCGGUUUUUGGAGAAGAAUUAUCACUUUUANNNNNNNNNNNNNNNNNNNNNNNNNNNNNNNNNNNNNNNNNNNNNNNNNNNNNNNNNNNNNNNNNNNNNNNNNAUGAUUCGUGACAUAAAUUUCAAGACACUAUAUAUAUAAGGUGAUAAUAUAUAAUAUCAUACAUUUAGAAAUAUUGAAUAUUGUGCCGACUACCUUAUACAGCUAACUGUUCCGAAAGAAUUGAUGAUAUAAUUAUUUUUUUUUUUUUAUUAUAUUGGGAAAUAGAUCAUGAAUGGAUAAUUGUAUAUUUGUAUGUGUAAAACAAACAAACUGUGAGUUAUAUCCACUUUUGAGUAAAAAGAUACUUAUUUAAGAUACGAAGAAGUAUGAGUUUCCACACAUACCUUGACCAUCUAGCAUCGAUUGUUAACCAUGUCUAGUAACGGUUCGAAGACCUUUGCGGCAUAAUUUGGCUUGGUGUUGUCAAUAUAUAUUUAAACAACUUGGAUCGAAUCCGAUGAUAUGAGUUAUAUUUUUUCCUACAAAUUUUAUGAAGAACUUAACCAAUCCACAACGAAUGAUAUGACCAAAGACUAAGUUGAAAUGAGUAUUUUAUAAUUUUGUGUAGAAAUAUUUGUACAAAGGAGUUAUCCAACAUCUCAUAUUUACAAUUCCACGUAAGCAAUUAACUUAAUUUAACAAUUCUACCGAAAAUUGAAUAAUUAAUAAUCAACUCUUCAAGUUUUCCUCCAAAAGAACACACUCUUGACGAUUCUGUGUUCCCUCACCGGGCCUUCAGCUUCCAUCGGCGGCAUAGUAAUAACAACAUCUUCUGCCGGUGCCAAAGCUGACGUCAACUGAGCAGCAUUAGAAGAAGAAGGAAUAUUGUCGCCGGAAACUGCCGUCACAGGAGCCGGAGUGACAUCCCCGUCGACAAUUUUCCGGCAAGUCUCGAUGAGGCAGUGGCGGCAAGUGGGGCAAGAAGAGUGGGACCCAAGCCACUUGUCGAUACAUCUCACGUGGAAGCCGUGGUUACACUUGGGAAGGAUCUUGACACGGUCGCCGGCGGUGA